RNAcentral lists this ribosomal RNA (402 nucleotides) under uncultured bacterium. Its description in RNAcentral is "partial 16S ribosomal RNA". It matches the Rfam family "Bacterial small subunit ribosomal RNA", at positions 355 to 774 of the family's 1533-position model. The record is from RNAcentral.
UGGGGAAUAUUGGACAAUGGGCGAAAGCCUGAUCCAGCCAUGCCGCAUGAGUGAAGAAGGCCUUUGGGUUGUAAAGCUCUUUUAGUGAGGAAGAUAAUGACGGUACUCACAGAAGAAGUCCUGGCUAACUCCGUGCCAGCAGCCGCGGUAAUACGGAGAGGGCUAGGGUUAUUCGGAAUUUUUGGGCGUAAAGGGUGCGUAGGCUGGUUAAUAAGUGAAAAGUGAAAUCCCGAGGAUUAACCUUGGAAUUGCUUUUAAAACUAUUAAUCUAGAGAUUGAAAGAGGAUAGAGGAAUUCCUGAUGUAGAGGUAAAAUUCGUAAAUAUUAGGAGGAACACCAGUGGCGAAGGCGUCUAUCUGGUUCAAAUCUGACGCUGAAGCGCGAAGGCGUGGGGAGCAAACA